Molecule: non-coding RNA, 28 nt
Filed under: Rattus norvegicus (Norway rat)
Lineage: Eukaryota; Metazoa; Chordata; Mammalia; Rodentia; Muridae
Source: RNAcentral
UGGGAUAAAAGGUGUGUGCCACCAUGCG